RNAcentral lists this microRNA precursor (86 nucleotides) under Cajanus cajan (pigeon pea). RNAcentral's name for it is "miRNA gene-KK1_032932". The record is from RNAcentral. Lineage: Eukaryota; Viridiplantae; Streptophyta; Magnoliopsida; Fabales; Fabaceae.
UUAAAUAACCGAUCUUAAAAGUACUUUUAAGAUCGGUUAAAUAUUAACCGAUCUUAAAAGUGCUACUUUUAAAAUCGGUUAUUUAA